UUAAGCAUAUCAAUAAGCGGAGGAAAAGAAACUAACAAGGAUUCCCUUAGUAACGGCGAGUGAACCGGGAAAAGCUCAAAUUUGUAAUCUGGCUGUCUUCGAUAGUCCGAGUUGUAAUCUAUAGACGUGUUUUCCGUGCUGGACCGUAUCUAAGUCCCUUGGAACAGGGUAUCAAAGAGGGUGACAAUCCCGUGCUUGAUACGACCACCAGUGCUCUGUGAUACACGCUCUACGAGUCGAGUUGUUUGGGAAUGCAGCUCAAAAUGGGUGGUAAAUUCCAUCUAAAGCUAAAUAUUGGCGAGAGACCGAUAGCGAACAAGUACCGUGAGGGAAAGAUGAAAAGCACUUUGGAAAGAGAGUUAAACAGUACGUGAAAUUGUUGAAAGGGAAACGAUUGAAGUCAGUCGUGUUCUUUGGAUUCAGCUAGUUCUUCUAGUCUACUUCCUUUGAACGGGUCAACAUCAGUUUUGUCCGGUGGAUAAAGAUAGUAGGAAUGUAGCUCCCUCGGGAGUGUUAUAGACUAUUAUUGCAUGCACUGGGUGAGACUGAGGACUGCAGCUCGCCUUUUGGCCGACCUUCGGGUACGUUCGAGCUUAGGAUGUUGACAUAAUGGCUUUAAACGACCCGUCU
This 630-nucleotide ribosomal RNA is filed under the name Cutaneotrichosporon moniliiforme. Its description in RNAcentral is "LSU rRNA". It matches the Rfam family "Eukaryotic large subunit ribosomal RNA", at positions 34 to 654 of the family's 3401-position model. The record is from RNAcentral. Lineage: Eukaryota; Fungi; Basidiomycota; Tremellomycetes; Trichosporonales; Trichosporonaceae.